CAAGUAUAUCAAAUUCCAGAGCAUGCGCUUUUUACAUAGCUCUAAAUAGCUGACUUCCUGUUGGGCGGAGCCUAUGACAUGCAAUAUGAAAGUUGUUUGGCUCAAUGAGAUCUACAUGUGUAAUGAGAUUCAUAUGAAUAUGUGCAAGUAUGUGUGAGCUAUACAUCAACAUUUCUGACUGUGUUCCAGGGGGCGCCGUAGAGCCCCUGUGCCACGCCCGGGUCCCAGCCUCUGCGGCCUCCUAAUGGCCACAGAUUCCAAGGUGUGUGCAAAUUUUCAAGAGUUUUUGAGCAUGUUAAGGGCCCCAAAAGCCCCCAAAACUUUGACGGAAAAUAAGAAUACAAAACCCUAAAUAACCAACUUCCUGUUGGGGCGGAGCCUAUGACAUGGAGUACGAAAGUUGUUUGGCUUGAUGAGAUCUAUAUGUGUACCGAGUUUCAUACGUCUACGUGCAAGUAUGUAUGAUAUAUGGCCCUCCAAAUUCCAGGGGGCGCUGUAGAGCCCCUGUGCCACGCCCGUGUAUCAGUCUCUGCCCGGCCCUAAUGGCCGCAGAUUCCAAGGUGUGUGCCAAUUUUCAAGAGUUUUUGAGCAUGUUAAGGGCCCCAAAAGCCCCCGAAACCUUGGAAAAAAAUUAGAAGAAUAAAGAAAAAAAAAAAAAAAAAAAAAAUAAUCCUAAGGAAAACAAUAGGGCUCUUCGCCCUCCAGGCUUGAGCCCUAAUAAUAAAAAAUAAUCCUAAGGAAAACAAUAGGGCUCUCGCCCUCCAGGCUUGAACCCUAAAUAUAGCUGCAAGCAGCGAUGGCGGGCUCAAGCCAUCAGCGCAAACGCCACCCCGGUGGCAUCAGGUAAACUGUGCCCAGCGGGCACAUGCAUUUACAGUAACCCUCUGGCAGUCAGGUUUUAAGGGAUACGGCAAUUAACGGGUUAAUCCGAAGCAUCAAGACUUUGAAAUCACAUACACAGAACAAUAUUCAUUAAGAAAGUGAAAUUAAAUGAUUAAUAAACUAUUUAUUCGAACCCUCGCUAUUUUCUAUUCUAAUAAAAGUUUUGGCUGUGGAACAUCUGUAAUAGAGUUGGCUAGCUGGAUGCAAAUAAAGUCAUGCCUUUUAUUUUUUCCCCUGUUUGCUAUUUCACAUUCCUGUCACUGAAGCGUUGUGGGCAAAGACACAGAAGGC
Molecule: long non-coding RNA, 1173 nt
Organism: Cyprinus carpio carpio
Lineage: Eukaryota; Metazoa; Chordata; Actinopteri; Cypriniformes; Cyprinidae
Source: Ensembl